GCCCUUGUGGCGGAAUUGGUAGACGCAGCAGACUCAAAAUCUGCCGUUCGUCAGAACAUGGGAGUUCGAGUCUCCCCGAGGGCACCA
Molecule: transfer RNA, 87 nt
Filed under: Holosporales bacterium
Lineage: Bacteria; Pseudomonadati; Pseudomonadota; Alphaproteobacteria; Holosporales
Description: tRNA-Leu
Rfam family: tRNA
About the family: Transfer RNA (tRNA) molecules are approximately 80 nucleotides in length.
Source: RNAcentral